Molecule: ribosomal RNA, 192 nt
Filed under: uncultured Chitinophagaceae bacterium
Lineage: Bacteria; Pseudomonadati; Bacteroidota; Chitinophagia; Chitinophagales; Chitinophagaceae
Description: partial 16S ribosomal RNA
Rfam family: Bacterial small subunit ribosomal RNA
Source: RNAcentral
ACUCCUACGGGAGGCAGCAGUGAGGAAUAUUGGUCAAUGGACGAAAGUCUGAACCAGCCAUGCCGCGUGGAGGAUUAAGGCCCUCUGGGUUGUAAACUCCUUUUAUCUGGGAAGAAAUGUUUGCAUUCUUGCGAACUUGACGGUACCAGAGGAAUAAGCACCGGCUAACUCCGUGCCAGCAGCCGCGGUAAU